This 251-nucleotide unclassified non-coding RNA is filed under the name Hevea brasiliensis (rubber tree). Lineage: Eukaryota; Viridiplantae; Streptophyta; Magnoliopsida; Malpighiales; Euphorbiaceae. The record is from RNAcentral.
GUAACCUUGAGUUUUCUUCUUGCUGUCAAAAACAAUAGUAGAAUUUUCGUAACCCCUUUAACUUAAUGCGGUUAAUUCACUAACGUGGAGUUUGGUUUCAUGAAUUCAACUUCAAGCUAUGUUCUAGAAGCAAUUGAAUGGAAGAAUGGUAACUAGUAUCUAGCAAGAGUGUGUACUUCCAGGGAGCAAAAGUGCCUAUUUCUAGGCAACCUUAUUAGUAACUGCUAUUAGAAUUAAUCACUUGGUUUAAC